Molecule: ribosomal RNA, 253 nt
Filed under: uncultured bacterium
Lineage: Bacteria
Description: partial 16S ribosomal RNA
Rfam family: Bacterial small subunit ribosomal RNA
Source: RNAcentral
UACGUAGGGUGCAAGCGUUAAUCGGAAUUACUGGGCGUAAAGCGUGCGCAGGCGGCUCGCUAAGACCGAUGUGAAAUCCCCGGGCUUAACCUGGGAACUGCAUUGGUGACUGGCGGGCUAGAGUAUGGCAGAGGGGGGUAGAAUUCCACGUGUAGCAGUGAAAUACGUAGAGAUGUGGAGGAAUACCGAUGGCGAAGGCAGCCCCCUGGGCCAAUACUGACGCUCAUGCACGAAAGCGUGGGGAGCAAACAGG